This is a non-coding RNA of Gossypium raimondii (Peruvian cotton), 145 nucleotides long. NCBI's taxonomy places the organism in Eukaryota, Viridiplantae, Streptophyta, Magnoliopsida, Malvales, Malvaceae. The record is from Rfam.
UGUUAACAAUUUCAUGCAUUUAUAUUGUUAAAGAUUGGCGUAGUUGAUGGAAUAAUCAAAUAGUGACACGUGGUGUCUAAUAUGCAUGUUAUGUUGAUGUAUAGUGACUAGUUUUUAACAGUAGAAAUUGAUAAGUUUUUUAACA